RNAcentral lists this ribosomal RNA (424 nucleotides) under uncultured bacterium. RNAcentral's name for it is "partial 16S ribosomal RNA". It matches the Rfam family "Bacterial small subunit ribosomal RNA", at positions 354 to 796 of the family's 1533-position model. The record is from RNAcentral.
GUGGGGAAUCUUGCGCAAUGGGCGAAAGCCUGACGCAGCCAUGCCGCGUGGAUGAUGAAGGUCUUAGGAUUGUAAAAUCCUUUCACCGGUGAAGAUAAUGACUGUAGCCGGAGAAGAAGCCCCGGCUAACUUCGUGCCAGCAGCCGCGGUAAUACGAAGGGGGCUAGCGUUGCUCGGAUUUACUUGGCGUAAAGGGCGCGUAGGCGGACAUUUAAGUCAGGGGUGAAAUCCCGGGGCUCAACCUCGGAACUGCCUUUGAUACUGGGUGUCUUGAGUAUGAGAGAGGUGUGUGGAACUCCGAGUGUAGAGGUGAAAUUCGUAGAUAUUCGGAAGAACACCAGUGGCGAAGGCGACACACUGGCUCAUUACUGACGCUGAGGCGCGAAAGCGUGGGGAGCAAACAGGAUUAGAUACCCGGUAGUCC